Molecule: long non-coding RNA, 358 nt
Filed under: Brassica napus (rape)
Lineage: Eukaryota; Viridiplantae; Streptophyta; Magnoliopsida; Brassicales; Brassicaceae
Description: long non-coding RNA (BNAP_LNC017821)
Source: RNAcentral
UGAGAAAAAGGAAGCUUUAUAUCUUUUCCAAACUGGCAAGCAGGACAGAUGUAAGAAGUAUCACGAUUGUUACAUGAAAAAGCAUUUGAAGAAAGAAGAAAUUUCAACAUUUGGUCAUUGGGAUGUGAUAGACUAUAGAUUUGACCAAUUUUCAUCCAUACUUUAUAGGUGUUUUUACUAAGAAUUAUUAUAUUAUAGAGUCUAUUUAUUAUAUUUAUAAGAUCAUGAGUGUUUUGGAGAUAAGUGAUGAUUUUGGAGCAUUUUGAAGAUAUUUGGAACAAGCACCCGAGAUGACCAUCGAGCUCGACCAACGGUCGAUAUUGGAGAUGAAUAAUCGAUCGAUACUCACAUCUGUUUA